GAGCGAACAGACGAGGAGCUUGCUCCUCUGACGUUAGCGGCGGACGGGUGAGUAACACGUGGAUAACCUACCUAUAAGACUGGGAUAACUUCGGGAAACCGGAGCUAAUACCGGAUAAUAUAUUGAACCGCAUGGUUCAAUAGUGAAAGACGGUUUUGCUGUCACUUAUAGAUGAUCCGCGCCGCAUUAGCUAGUUGGUAAGGUAACGGCUUACCAAGGCAACGAUGCGUAGCCGGCCUGAGAGGGUGAUCGGCCACACUGGAACUGAGACACGGUCCAGACUCCUACGGGAGGCAGCAGUAGGGAAUCUUCCGCAAUGGGCGAAAGCCUGACGGAGCAACGCCGCGUGAGUGAUGAAGGUCUUCGGAUCGUAAAACUCUGUUAUUAGGGAAGAACAAAUGUGUAAGUAACUAUGCACGUCUUGACGGUACCUAAUCAGAAAGCCACGGCUAACUACGUGCCAGCAGCCGCGGUAAUACGUAGGUGGCAAGCGUUAUCCGGAAUUAUUGGGCGUAAAGCGCGCGUAGGCGGUUUUUUAAGUCUGAUGUGAAAGCCCACGGCUCAACCGUGGAGGGUCAUUGGAAACUGGAAAACUUGAGUGCAGAAGAGGAAAGUGGAAUUCCAUGUGUAGCGGUGAAAUGCGCAGAGAUAUGGAGGAACACCAGUGGCGAAGGCGACUUUCUGGUCUGUAACUGACGCUGAUGUGCGAAAGCGUGGGGAUCAAACAGGAUUAGAUACCCUGGUAGUCCACGCCGUAAACGAUGAGUGCUAAGUGUUAGGGGGUUUCCGCCCCUUAGUGCUGCCAGCUAACGCAUUAA
This 818-nucleotide ribosomal RNA is filed under the name uncultured Staphylococcus sp. RNAcentral describes it as "SSU rRNA". It matches the Rfam family "Bacterial small subunit ribosomal RNA", at positions 64 to 863 of the family's 1533-position model. Lineage: Bacteria; Bacillati; Bacillota; Bacilli; Caryophanales; Staphylococcaceae. The record is from RNAcentral.